GUUCUUGGUGGCCAAUUUAGUGUCUAUUUCUGCGAUAAUGGUGAUGGAUUAGCUGAUGCUCGUUUUGUUAUUGCAGAGUCCUCUUCUAAGUCUUCUCGUGGCUGAGUGUUCUUCUAAUUCUUCUCGUGGCAGAGUCUUCUUCUAAUUCUUCUCAUGGGCAGAGUCUUCUUCUAAUUCUUCUCGUGACAUAGCUGCUGCUCGUUUUUGUUAUUGCUUGUUCUAAUUCUUCUCCUGGCAGAGUCUUCUUCUAAUUCUUCUCGUGAUGGCAGAGUCUUCUUCUAAUUCUUCUCGGACAUAGCUCGUUUUUGUUAUAGCGGAGUGGUAGCCAAUCAAUUUACUGAUACGACACCUAUGAAUGGUGGUCGUCGAUUCUGUAAAUGUCCUCGUUACGAGAGCAAUGGUUGUCGUUAUUGGGAAUGGCGCGAUAAAGAACUUCCACCUCAUGUAUCAAUAUUCAUCCACAAACAAAAAAUUACAGUGGAUGCUCUUCGCCAAGAAAGGAAUAAGUUUAGGAAGAUGGUCGAUGACAUGGUGGGUAGUAAAGCUGGAAAUCUGAAUAAUGUAG
This 565-nucleotide long non-coding RNA is filed under the name Nicotiana benthamiana. Its description in RNAcentral is "long non-coding RNA (NBEN_LNC010927)". Lineage: Eukaryota; Viridiplantae; Streptophyta; Magnoliopsida; Solanales; Solanaceae. The record is from RNAcentral.